ACGUCAGCAGAUAUUUCAUAUUAUAUAUCAUAUGAUAUAUGGUUGCUCUAGUCAGAAAAAAAAUAAGAGGCUAAGAGGCAGCUUCUAGCCCGAAGACCUAGACCUAGACCGCAAUACAGCUCUUGAAUGGAAUUUUUGGUGAUGGAAAUCAACUAGAAAUCUUUAGUUUGAAGAUAUCGAAAUCUCCAGAAUUCGAAGGCAUAGACGCUGCACCUAUAAUGCACCUCUCACCGAACUGCCUUAAAAAUCUAAAGGUAGCUAUGGAACAAAGUCAUUUGGUCACUUUGCAUCCCAGUGGAAAUAUGCAGAGGUCAUUAUUAUCCCGAAACCGGGCUGAACUGUCAUCCAACAGGACGUCAAUAUUCCAUAGAAUCUAUUCUUUGUUAGAUAAGUAAUGUUAGAUAAGU
Non-coding RNA from Drosophila melanogaster (fruit fly), 407 nucleotides. The record is from Ensembl. Lineage: Eukaryota; Metazoa; Arthropoda; Insecta; Diptera; Drosophilidae.